GAGCGAACAGACGAGGAGCUUGCUCCUCUGACGUUAGCGGCGGACGGGUGAGUAACACGUGGAUAACCUACCUAUAAGACUGGGAUAACUUCGGGAAACCGGAGCUAAUACCGGAUAAUAUAUUGAACCGCAUGGUUCAAUAGUGAAAGACGGUUUUGCUGUCACUUAUAGAUGGAUCCGCGCCGCAUUAGCUAGUUGGUAAGGUAACGGCUUACCAAGGCAACGAUGCGUAGCCGACCUGAGAGGGUGAUCGGCCACACUGGAACUGAGACACGGUCCAGACUCCUACGGGAGGCAGCAGUAGGGAAUCUUCCGCAAUGGGCGAAAGCCUGACGGAGCAACGCCGCGUGAGUGAUGAAGGUCUUCGGAUCGUAAAACUCUGUUAUUAGGGAAGAACAAAUGUGUAAGUAACUAUGCACGUCUUGACGGUACCUAAUCAGAAAGCCACGGCUAACUACGUGCCAGCAGCCGCGGUAAUACGUAGGUGGCAAGCGUUAUCCGGAAUUAUUGGGCGUAAAGCGCGCGUAGGCGGUUUUUUAAGUCUGAUGUGAAAGCCCACGGCUCAACCGUGGAGGGUCAUUGGAAACUGGAAAACUUGAGUGCAGAAGAGGAAAGUGGAAUUCCAUGUGUAGCGGUGAAAUGCGCAGAGAUAUGGAGGAACACCAGUGGCGAAGGCGACUUUCUGGUCUGUAACUGACGCUGAUGUGCGAAAGCGUGGGGAUCAAA
RNAcentral lists this ribosomal RNA (726 nucleotides) under uncultured Staphylococcus sp. RNAcentral's name for it is "bacterial SSU rRNA". It matches the Rfam family "Bacterial small subunit ribosomal RNA", at positions 64 to 772 of the family's 1533-position model. The record is from RNAcentral. Lineage: Bacteria; Bacillati; Bacillota; Bacilli; Caryophanales; Staphylococcaceae.